AUUGAACGCUGGCGGCAGGCCUAACACAUGCAAGUCGAGCGGAUGAAGGGAGCUUGCUCCUGGAUUCAGCGGCGGACGGGUGAGUAAUGCCUAGGAAUCUGCCUGGUAGUGGGGGAUAACGUCCGGACACGGGCGCUAAUACCGCAUACGUCCUGAGGGAGAAAGUGGGGGAUAUUCGGACCUCACGCUAUCAGAUGAGCCUAGGUCGGAUUAGCUAGUUGGUGGGGUAAAGGCCUACCAAGGCGACGAUCCGUAACUGGUCUGAGAGGAUGAUCAGUCACACUGGAACUGAGACACGGUCCAGACUCCUACGGGAGGCAGCAGUGGGGAAUAUUGGACGAUGGGCGAAAGCCUGAUCCAGCCAUGCCGCGUGUGUGAAGAAGGUCUUCGGAUUGUAAAGCACUUUAAGUUGGGAGGAAGGGCAGGAAGUUAAUACCUUGCUGUUGUGACGUUACCAACAGAAUAAGCACCGGCUAACUUCGUG
This 484-nucleotide ribosomal RNA is filed under the name uncultured bacterium. RNAcentral describes it as "partial 16S ribosomal RNA". It matches the Rfam family "Bacterial small subunit ribosomal RNA", at positions 30 to 507 of the family's 1533-position model. The record is from RNAcentral.